Molecule: ribosomal RNA, 435 nt
Filed under: uncultured bacterium
Lineage: Bacteria
Description: partial 16S ribosomal RNA
Rfam family: Bacterial small subunit ribosomal RNA
Source: RNAcentral
AGCGAACGCUGGCGGCAGGCUUAACACAUGCAAGUCGAGCGGGCACUUUCGGGUGUCAGCGGCGGACGGGUGAGUAACGCGUGGGAACGUGCCCUCUGGUUCGGAAUAACUCAGGGAAACUUGAGCUAAUACCGGAUACGCCCUUUUGGGGAAAGGCUUGCUGCCGGAGGAUCGGCCCGCGUCUGAUUAGCUAGUUGGUGAGGUAACGGCUCACCAAGGCGACGAUCAGUAGCUGGUCUGAGAGGAUGAUCAGCCACACUGGGACUGAGACACGGCCCAGACUCCUACGGGAGGCAGCAGUGGGGAAUAUUGGACAAUGGGCGCAAGCCUAAUCCAGCCAUGCCGCGUGAGUGAUGAAGGUCUUAGGGUUGUAAAGCUCUUUUAUCCGGGACGAUAAUGACGGUACCGGAGGAAUAAGCCCCGGCUAACUUCGUG